UUACAGUAGUCGCCCGGGUUGCCGCAAGGCCUCCCGGGUAACCUACCACCCUUUGUUUAUUACACUUUGUUGCUUUGGCAAGCCUGCCCUCGGGCUGCUGGCUCCGGCCGGCGAGCGCUUGCCAGAGGACCUAAACUCUGUUUGUCUAUACUGUCUGAGUACUAUAUAAUAGUUAAAACUUUCAACAACGGAUCUCUUGGUUCUGGCAUCGAUGAAGAACGCAGCGAAAUGCGAUAAGUAAUGUGAAUUGCAGAAUUCAGUGAAUCAUCGAAUCUUUGAACGCACAUUGCGCCCCCUGGUAUUCCGGGGGGCAUGCCUGUCCGAGCGUCAUUACAACCCUCAAGCUCAGCUUGGUGUUGGGCCCCGCCGCCCCGGCGGGCCCUAAAGUCAGUGGCGGUGCCGUCCGGCUCCGAGCGUAGUAAUUCUUCUCGCUCUGGAGGCCCGGUCGUGUGCUCGCCAGCAACCCCCAAUUUUUUUCAGGUUGACCUCGGAUCAGGUAGGGAUACCCGCUGAACUUAAGCAUAUCAAUAAGCGGAGGAAAAGAAACCAACAGGGAUUACCUCAGUAACGGCGAGUGAAGCGGUAACAGCUCAAAUUUGAAAUCUGGCCUCACGGUCCGAGUUGUAAUUUGUAGAGGAUGCUUCGAGCAUGGUCUGGCCUAAGUUCCUUGGAACAGGACGUCAUAGAGGGUGAGAAUCCCGUAUGCGGCCAGGUGCCUACGCUCAUGUGAAGCUCCUUCGACGAGUCGAGUUGUUUGGGAAUGCAGCUCAAAAUGGGUGGUAAAUUUCAUCUAAAGCUAAAUAUUGGCCAGAGACCGAUAGCGCACAAGUAGAGUGAUCGAAAGAUGAAAAGCACUUUGGAAAGAGAGUUAAACAGUACGUGAAAUUGUUGAAAGGGAAGCGCUUGCAACCAGACUUGCGCGCGGCCGAUCAUCCGGUGUUCUCACCGGUGCACUCGGCCGUGCUCAGGCCAGCAUCGGUUUUGGCGGCUGGAUAAAGGCCCUAGGAAUGUAGCUCCUCUCGGGGAGUGUUAUAGCCUAGGGUGCAAUGCAGC
Molecule: ribosomal RNA, 1053 nt
Filed under: Chrysosporium merdarium var. roseum
Lineage: Eukaryota; Fungi; Ascomycota; Eurotiomycetes; Onygenales; Onygenaceae
Description: eukaryotic LSU rRNA
Rfam family: Eukaryotic large subunit ribosomal RNA (bases 483-1053)
Source: RNAcentral